GAAGUGAUGUCAUAAUACUGCGACAUGAUCCUGCAUCUGUGAUUCCACUGAAGAAAGGGUCUGGCUGCAGACAUCAGGACGUUUCUCAGAAUGGCAUAUUACCACACAACUCCUACUCUACUGCUUUAUGCUGGGUGUAUUCUGUGAAUGAUUGGACUGAAGUCAGGAUUUUACUCUUGGCGUGAGAUUAUGCAGCAGGCUGAAUCAAGGAAAUGUGCCCCUGUUAACUUGUGACCUGCGUUUACCUGUUUGAAAAUCAACCAUGGGUUUAUUAUACUAAAACGUAUUUUACAUUUUAUAGUGUAUGAUGGUAACGUACAUAUCAUGGAGUCUCAGACAAUAGUACAUUUGAAGCUACUAUGGCUUUAUUACCAACGCUAUCGUUAAAAUAUUUACUAUAUUAAAAACAUGGUACAUUUUCUUCACAGACUAGCUGAUGUCUCAUUUAAGAUAAAAACUUAACAUUGUUUUCUCUGUUAUUUUCUUGUAGAAAUACUAUUCAAACAUGUGACCUGAUAUACUAUUUGAAUUUAAUAGUAAAUGAAAUGUAAACAUUAAACUCCAGUUGAAAAGCUCCUAAUAUACAUUACUUUGUAAACGUGUUAAAUUGUGCUUUGCGUUUACUUAUAUUUGAUUAGCCCAAAACAGUCUAAAUAAAAACUUUUAGAAUGAAUCAACUAGUGAACGCAAGUCACAAGGUAACACAUUUACAAAGUAAGCUAAAGCAUUUAUAGAUGUGCUCAAAAUUAUUCAUACCCUUGCUGAAUAUGAUCAAAGAAGGCUGUGAAAAUAAAGCCCUAUUCGGACGGGACUAGUUUUACAGGGGGUCGUUAGAGAAAUCUGCGUUUCACAGACGUACUUGGUGAUUUUAAUCCCGUCCGAAUCUGCCACGUCUGUGUUUUUCUCACACAACCUCUGUGAUAAUUCCAGAGCAAAUUACCUACCGUUUUUCAGCAAACUCAGUGAUCCUCUGAGAAAACUAAUCCCGUCCGAAUGCGAAUGUGUGUGAUUGCCGGUGAUAUUUUAUUUCACAACGUGUUUCCUUGUGUGUUUUGGCCAACGUGAAUUACCGUAGAUGGCCUUACCGCGCGGAUGUUUGAUAUAUUUGCUUAGCGGCAAAUAAAUAAUAAUAAAAAAAUAAUACAAACAAUAAAAUCAAGAGCAAGAUCGCGUAAACUGUUAAUACCGGCUAUUGUAAUAUCAGCAUCAGGUAAGAUUACUCACGCUCAUUUAUGUACUCAGUUACAUAAUGUUUUAAUUACAUUUAAUAAAAAAAAAAAAAAAAAGGAAAACAAGUUAAACUAAAGGAACCACACAUUAACAUGGUUUUGUUAUACCAGCCAUUUAGUAUUUAUUGUGUAAUAAUACUAAGGCAGUCAUUCUGAAUGAAUGCAAUGCACGCAUACAGAGUGCGUGAUCUCUGUGACGCCCAGAUGCACAAAACAGACCCUCCCACCUCUGUAAUAAACACGGAGAUGUUAGUCCCGUCCGAAUUGGUACAUGAAAAUCACAGACGUCAGGUGGUAAGAAUCGAAACUCAAACGUAGUUUAGAAAACUAGUCCCGUCCGAAUAGUGCUUUAGUCUGCAUUUGUAAAGGUUACACCUUGAUCUUUAAUUAAAUAAUAAUAAUAAUAAUAAUAAUUAUAUAUAUAUAAAACCUAGGGCUGUGCAAAAAAUCGAAUGCGAUUUUCAUGUACAUCUCAUCAGUAAAGGCGCUCCUGUAAUUAGUAGUGUAUCUCCAGCACGUGCGUUCAGAUCAGUGUUGCCCGGUUUUCACAACAAAUCCCGCCCAGUUGCUUCUCAAAACUAGCCCAAUCGCGUUUCCAGGAGGUUCCCUGAUACAAAUAGCUUCUCGGGGUUAAAAUAUAGGUUUUUUGGCUGAGUUGCCUUGGUAAAAUUCACAUUUUAGGGGCUAAAUAUCAUGUUAUUGGUAUUGGGGUUGCUUCAACCCGCGGGUAUGAAAAACAAUGUUGCUCCCAUCCAGCGUCACUUCUGACUCCUUACAACCCCUUGUUAGACUCCGAUUGUUUCCUUAAGAAACUUUGUCACGCCCAUAAUGAAGAUAAAGACAGGGAAAACGGAUAUUACACAAUCCAUCUGUAUAGUAUGUUAUAGUACACUAGUACACCUAUCUGUAUAUCAUGCUGAUAGUAUUUAAAACCUGCAAAUGAUGUCUAAAGCCUUAAAUGUAUAAUAAUUGUACAUUUGUAACAUAUUGUAGACACUGUAUAUCCUGUACUUACUGCUUAUUGCAUUUCUGGUUAGAUGCUAACUGCAUUUCAUUGCCCUGUACCAUACAUAUGCAAU
Long non-coding RNA from Carassius gibelio (silver crucian carp), 2308 nucleotides. RefSeq lists it as uncharacterized. Lineage: Eukaryota; Metazoa; Chordata; Actinopteri; Cypriniformes; Cyprinidae. The transcript has 3 exons. The record is from RefSeq and is a predicted model, not a curated record.